RNAcentral lists this ribosomal RNA (433 nucleotides) under uncultured bacterium. RNAcentral's name for it is "partial 16S ribosomal RNA". It matches the Rfam family "Bacterial small subunit ribosomal RNA", at positions 29 to 507 of the family's 1533-position model. The record is from RNAcentral.
AGCGAACGCUGGCGGCAGGCCUAACACAUGCAAGUCGAACGAACUCUUCGGAGUUAGUGGCGGACGGGUGAGUAACACGUGGGAACGUGCCUUUUGGAUCGGAAUCACUCAGGGAAACUUGUGCUAAUACCGAAUGUGCCCUUCGGGGGAAAGAUUGAUCGCCAGUAGAGCGGCCCGCGUCUGAUUAGCUAGUUGGUGAGGUAACGGCUCACCAAGGCGACGAUCAGUAGCUGGUCUGAGAGGAUGACCAGCCACACUGGGACUGAGACACGGCCCAGACUCCUACGGGAGGCAGCAGUGGGGAAUCUUGCGCAAUGGGCGAAAGCCUGACGCAGCCAUGCCGCGUGAAUGAUGAAGGUCUUAGGAUUGUAAAAUUCUUUCACCGGGGACGAUAAUGACGGUACCCGGAGAAGAAGCCCCGGCUAACUUCGUG